AUACGGAGGGUGCAAGCGUUAUUCGGAAUCACUGGGCGUAAAGGGUGCGUAGGCGGUUUGAUAAGUCUGAUGUGAAAUCCUAUGGCUCAACCAUAGAACUGCAUUGGAAACUGCCAGACUAGAAUACUGAAGGGGCAGAUGGAAUUAGUGGUGUAGGGGUAAAAUCCGUAGAUAUCACUAGGAAUACCGAAAGCGAAAGCGAUCUGCUGGGAAGUUAUUGACGCUGAGGCACGAAAGCGUGGGGAGCAAACGGGAUUAGAAACCCUAGUAGUCC
RNAcentral lists this ribosomal RNA (274 nucleotides) under uncultured bacterium. RNAcentral's name for it is "partial 16S ribosomal RNA". It matches the Rfam family "Bacterial small subunit ribosomal RNA", at positions 523 to 796 of the family's 1533-position model. The record is from RNAcentral.